Molecule: non-coding RNA, 80 nt
Organism: Podarcis lilfordi (Lilford's wall lizard)
Lineage: Eukaryota; Metazoa; Chordata; Lepidosauria; Squamata; Lacertidae
Source: the annotation of a GenBank genome assembly
GCCAGUAUAAAUAUAGCUCAGCUGGUUAGAGCGUGGUGCUGAUAACACCAAGGUUGCAGGUUUGAUCCCCGUUCUGGACA